RNAcentral lists this ribosomal RNA (226 nucleotides) under uncultured bacterium. RNAcentral's name for it is "partial 16S ribosomal RNA". It matches the Rfam family "Bacterial small subunit ribosomal RNA", at positions 538 to 763 of the family's 1533-position model. The record is from RNAcentral.
GCGUUAUCCGGAUUCACUGGGUUUAAAGGGUGCGUAGGUGGGUCUGUAAGUCAGUGGUGAAAUCUCCGGGCUUAACCCGGAAACUGCCAUUGAUACUAUAGAUCUUGAAUCUUCUGGAGGUCAGCGGAAUAUGUCAUGUAGCGGUGAAAUGCUUAGAUAUGACAUAGAACACCAAUUGCGAAGGCAGCUGACUACGGGGGCAUUGACACUGAGGCACGAAAGCGUG